This 1954-nucleotide long non-coding RNA is filed under the name Homo sapiens (human). RNAcentral's name for it is "HSALNT0318187". Lineage: Eukaryota; Metazoa; Chordata; Mammalia; Primates; Hominidae. The record is from RNAcentral.
GCGAGGGGUCCAGGGUGUGGGAAACGGGGAGGGAUUUGAGGAGGGGAUCGGAAUGUGGCUCCAGUUCGGGAGGCGUUACCUGCGGAGGGUUUGAGGAAGGCCCAGGAGCGAGCCCAUGGUCUUCCGACGCGGGGCCAGGGGCGGGCCCCAGGAUCCGGAGCUUCGGGGGGGCCGAGUCCGGGUUUGGGGCCCGGGAGGCGGGGCCAGUUAGGUCGAGGGUCCCUGGGAUCGUCGGGUCAGGCCUUGGGCUAACGUAGGCACUCUCGCAGUUCCUCCGCCUUCAGGAAGGUCUUUUUAGCAGGGGCCUUACGGGUGCAUGCUUCGGUCCUGGAGGACUUAGGCUAGCCUCCUCUCCAUCAGCGCCACCCGUCUGGGGCCCGAAAGGAGGGAGCUUUCCCUCUGUCCCCCAGCCUUUGGACUGUCACCAAACAAGCCAUUCGUUCACCAAAUACUUUUUAAGCGCCUACCAUGUGCCUGACAAGGGAUAUGUAACGGUGAGAAAAACUAGGUGUGGUCCAGGCCCUUCAGGGACUCAGGGGCUCGUGGAAGAAGUGGAUAUUGAAGUACUUAUCACACAAAGGAGGAUAAAAGUACGAUAGCGAUAUCUACCACGAAGCUGUUGUUCCACACCAGAACCAAAUGAGCGCAAGAUCUGACAAAAAAAAAAGGUUCAUCUUUUAUUCUUCCAAACACUUUCAUUUAAAUCAAGAGGAUGGGAUGUGGUUAUUACUGUGUUUUUAGACAAAAUCAAUGGUUUCUGGCUCUGAGAUGUUGCAUACACCCUCUCAGUCCCUGUAUCCUGAGAUGGAGUCACCUGAGAAUCCACAGCAAGUCCUAACCAGGGAUGGGUCUGGGUGAUUAAGGAAGAUUGGCUUCAGAACUGGGCCAGGGGCACUGCUUUGCUUUUGCUGUUUUGAUCAGCUCUCUGCCUGCAGGAGACGAGGAAAACCAAUGGGAACAGAAAUUGCCUGUCUGCUCCGCUCUGGUUGAAGAAACCAGUCCGACUGUCUCUGAGGCUAUGGAGCAGUCCAUGAAGAAUGAAAGCCCUCUGCCAGGCAUGUUGGCUCACACCUGUAAUACCAGCACUUUGGGAGGCCGAGGCAGGUGGAUCACUUGAAGUCAGGAGUUCGACACCAGCAUGGUCAACAUGGUGAAACCCUGUCUCUACAAAAAAUAGAAAAAUUAGCUGGGCCUGGUGAUGCGUGCCUGUAAUCCCAGCUACUCAGGAGGCUGAGGCAAGAGAGUCACUUGAACUUGGGAAGCAGAGGUUACAGUGGGGAGCUGAGAUCACACCACUGCAUUCCAGCCUGAGCGACAGAGCGAGACUCUCUCCAAAAAAAAAAAAAAAAAAAAAAAGAAAGAAUGAAUGUCCUCAUGAUGGCCUCAAGCACAUUGGUCCCUGAAGAGGGUCAAAGAAGGCCCACUUUACUCUGCACUGCAAAGCAGGCAGGUGGACAGGAUGAGAAGUGGAUUCAGUGAGAGGCAUUGACCCAGAGGAUUUUCUGCCUAAUGGUUCAGCAGAAGAUUAAACUGAGCACAGCAUCCUGUUCCCUGAAACCAUCUGAUAGGGUCUCUCUCUCUGCCACUCAGGCCAGAGUGCAGUUGACGCAGAGCAGGGGAGCCCUGAAAUGGAGCAUAGUGUGUCCGGAACUGGUGGGUUCUUGGUCUCACUGACUUCAAGAAUGAAGCUGCGGACCCUCGGGAUGAGUGUCACAGUUCUUAAAGGUGGCUUGUCUGGAGUUUGUUCCUUCUGAUGCUCUGAUGUGUUCAGAGUUUCUUCUUUCUGGUGGGUUUGUGGUCUCACUGGCUUCAGGAGUGAAGCUGCAGACCUUCAAGGUGAGUGUUACAGCUCUUAAGGCGGUGCGUCUGGAGUUGUUUGUUCCUCCCGGUGGGUUCAUAGUCUCGCUGGCUUCAGGAGUGAAGCUGCAGACCUUCGAGGUGAGUGUUACAGCUC